AGGCUGAGACUUGAUGCGUACCCGUUGUGGGGAAUUCAGUGAUCCUAUGCUGCCGAGAAAAGCCUCUAGUGAGUUCAUACACGGCCCGUACCCCAAACCAACACAGGUGGUCAGGUAGAGAAUACCAAGGCGAUCGAGAGAACUGUGGUUAAGGAACUCGGCAAAAUGCCCCCGUAACUUCGGGAGAAGGGGGACCACGCCCGGUGAACACCCUUUGCGGUGGGAGCUGGGGGUGGUCGCAGAGACCAGAGAGAAGCGACUGUUUACUAAAAACACAGGUCCGUGCGAAGACGUAAGUCGAUGUAUACGGACUGACGCCUGCCCGGUGCUGGAAGGUUAAGAGGACCGGUUAGCCGCAAGGCGAAGCUGAGAAUUUAAGCCCCAGUAAACGGCGGUGGUAACUAUAACCAUCCUAAGGUAGCGAAAUUCCUUGUCGGGUAAGUUCCGACCUGCACGAAUGGCGUAACGACUUCUCUGCUGUCUCGACCACAGACUCGGCGAAAUUGCAUUACGAGUAAAGAUGCUCGUUACGCGCGGCAGGACGAAAAGACCCCGGGACCUUUACUAUAGCUUGGUAUUGGCGUUCGAUUCGGUUUGUGUAGGAUAGGUGGGAGACUGUGAAGCAUGCACGCCAGUGUGUGUGGAGUCGUUGUUGAAAUACCACUCUGAUCGUAUUGGACGUCUAACCUCGGCCCAUGAUCUGGGUUAGGGACAGUGCCUGGUGGGUAGUUUAACUGGGGCGGUUGCCUCCCAAAGAGUAACGGAGGCGCCCAAAGGUUCCCUCAGCCUGGAUGGCAAUCAGGUGUUGAGUGCAAGUGCACAAGGGAGCUUGACUGUGAGACUGACACGUCGAGCAGGGACGAAAGUCGGGACUAGUGAUCCGGCACCGGCAUGUGGAAGCGGUGUCGCUCAACGGAUAAAAGGUACCCCGGGGAUAACAGGCUGAUCUUCCCCAAGAGUCCAUAUCGACGGGAUGGUUUGGCACCUCGAUGUCGGCUCGUCGCAUCCUGGGGCUGGAGUAGGUCCCAAGGGUUGGGCUGUUCGCCCAUUAAAGCGGCACGCGAGCUGGGUUUAGAACGUCGUGAGACAGUUCGGUCUCUAUCCGCCGCGCGCGUAAGAAACUUGCGGAAGGCUGUCCCUAGUACGAGAGGACCGGGACGGACGAACCUCUGGUGUGCCAGUUGUUCCACCAGGAGCAUCGCUGGUUAGCUACGUUCGGAAGGGAUAACCGCUGAAAGCAUCUAAGCGGGAAGCCUGUUCCAAGAUGAGGUUUCUCACCACCUUCGCGUGGUUAAGGCCCCCCACAGACCAUGGGGUUGAUAGGCCGGAACUGGAAGCGCAGCAAUGCGUGCAGGUGACCGGUACUAAUCGGCCGAGGACUUACACA
Molecule: ribosomal RNA, 1387 nt
Rfam family: Bacterial large subunit ribosomal RNA